UGGAUAUUUUAGGUUUUUUUAUAGGCUCCAAAGUUCUAACUGCUUUUUCACUCUGUGCUUUGUGGCACUGCUGGGAGAUGUUCCUGCCAAAGCUGCCAAGGGUCUGAUGGAAGGGGGCCUGGCCCGGGAAGGCUCCCCGAAGUUGCUCUGAGCGAUCCUGGAUGCUGCAUGGCUUCAGUCCCUGAGGCCUCCCUGGCCACUAAGAGGAAACAAACCACUGCCAGGACAUGCCAAAGGCAUCCUACUGCCAGCAACUGGGACUCUCCUCCUUCCCAAAAGCAUCAAGGAGGGGUUAUGGAAAUUGAUGUGCCCGGGAGCAGCCCUCAGCCGAUGACAAAUGGUUGGAGAUAGCUAUCCCAGCUCCCUCAGCUUGCAGGUGGGACAAACGUGAAAUGAGUUUCCUGUUGUCUCCUGGAUGUUGUGGUAGGACUGAGCCCCAGAUGCCCACAACAGUAGCCCCCUCAUCACCAUACCAUGUGUCAGCUUCCUCCUCCGUCUCCCCUCUCUACUCUUCCAGCGCUGCUUCCUGGAUUCCAUUCCCUAUCAAAACCUCUUGCGCUUAGAUCUUAGACUCGGGGCUUGCUUCUGCAGGUGCCCAGCCUAAGCAGGACAUGAGUCUUGCACACCUUCUUCUUUUCCUUCCCUGGCAUCUGAUCUAACUAAGCUGCCAGUUCAGUUCUGGACUCGG
This 688-nucleotide long non-coding RNA is filed under the name Bos grunniens (domestic yak). RNAcentral describes it as "lncRNA (ENSBGRG00000000403.1)". Lineage: Eukaryota; Metazoa; Chordata; Mammalia; Artiodactyla; Bovidae. The record is from RNAcentral.